RNAcentral lists this long non-coding RNA (35667 nucleotides) under Erythranthe guttata (spotted monkey flower). Its description in RNAcentral is "long non-coding RNA (EGUT_LNC002010)". The record is from RNAcentral. Lineage: Eukaryota; Viridiplantae; Streptophyta; Magnoliopsida; Lamiales; Phrymaceae.
UAAAUUUGACUCAAAUCACACUUGUCAAUACGAGAACCGCUUGUUUUGAACAACGAACACAAUCCACUCCGCAAAAACUUACUACAUAGUAGUUCAAACACCAAGACCUGUGAAAAAAAAAAGAGUUAAACAAACAACAAAUUUUGCUUCAAAUUUAAAUGUGCACACACGCACUAUCACCUACUGGUAUACAUAGAUACUCCCCACAUAACUCAUACAUGACUACAUGACUACAUAGUUUAUAUAUAACUAUAUAUUACUACAUGUGACUACACCAUAUAUUACUGUAUGUUACUACACGUGACUAUAUAUUACUAUAUGUAACUACACCAUAUAUUACUGUAUGUUACUACACAUGACUAUAUAUGACUACAUGUAUAUGACCAUAUGUGACUAUAUACAUGUCUGUGACUUUAUUUGUCCCUUCAAGUACCUGACUUUGUUCUCCAGGCGAUACGACACGACUUAUAUUAUCAAAAUCAAAUUACAACAGAGUAUGCUAGUCAUUAUUCUUCGUAUAAUCAAAGGUCAAAGAUCAAAGCAAGUUGAAGUGGAACACCAUAGAUAAAAUAAUAGUUGAAACACACGUAAAGUAGUCACCUAUUUCAUUCUCGAUAAAUAAAAUAUCAAUAUCAUAUUACCAACAAAAUAUUCUCAUCACGAAUCUACAUAUACUCCCAAGUAUAAAAAAAAGUAAACAAAUCAUUUGAGGACCAAUAAACAGGGAUUCAAUAUAUUAAGAAGCACAUUAAAAUUCAUUACCUUUUCUAUGCCUUCAAUGGAUGAACAGUCAGUUUUGUCGCACCACCACCAGGAACAAGUUUCGAGUUUUUUUUAUUAUAUUUCUUGCCACAACAAUCGUGUUUUAUGUACAAGUCGACUCCUAAAAUUAAACUCACAGCUUCACAAAAAAAAAAGAGAGAAAAAAAAUUAAAACCAAAACUCAAAAAAUAACUGCAAAAUUCGAUGAUGGUUGUACAAAAAAUACUUUGGUGAACUCAAAAAAUACCUGCAAAAUUCGAAUUACAUUACAUGAAAAAUACAAAAAAACAAUGAAAAACACUUUAUUGAUAAAUUUACUUUGGUGAACUAUAGUCACAUGUAGUUAUGUCUUCUUGUUACUACAUAUGACUAUAUAUGACUAUAUGUAGUCAACUAUAGUCACAUGUAGUUGUGUUCAUUCUUGUUACUACAUGUGACUAUAUAUGACUACGUGUACAUGACCACAUGUGACUAUAUAUAUGUAUAUAUAUAAAAUUCCUCUACACCAGCAAAAAAGUUCACAAGUGAAUCUAUAUCAUAUGUUCGCCUUCAGAUUAGAACUGUAUGAUCAUAUAAUCAUGCAUCUGUUAGAGAGGAAACAUGAUUGCCUACUUAAUGUAUCCUAAAUUCCUAAUAGACAGAAACCCCACAAGAAACGAAAAAUAAUUUAAUUCCAGUUAAUAUACAUCAAGAUUAAUACGGUGUGAGAGAUAGGUAUAGUGAGAUGGCAGUUAACCAAUGACCAUUGUGCAAAAGACUUACACAGUUCAAAAUGUCUACCAACUUUCUAAUGUGUGUGAGGAUUGACAACUAAGAUAAGACCAUCAAACAGAUUCUAGAAUUAGAUAAAUGUAUGAUCAGUAAACAUACACUGGAGGGGUUUUUAAGUCUCUGUGCUUCAUCAAUUAUCGCAUAAUGCCAAUGGAAAUUUCCCAUUAACUGCUAUUACCUACAAAAGGAAGUGAAUUGUAUAAUUAUAAUUUGAUGCAAAUAUUAAAUAAAUAAAUAAAAAUGAAUUAUCAAAUAACAAGGAACAUAGAAAAAUACUAGUUUGGAAUAACACCAGAUAUAAGAACUGUAUAAUUAAUGUAAAUCGUAAUCGAAAUCGAAACCGAAAAGGAAUAGAAUAAAAUCUACAUAUAAUUUACAGCUAUAGUUUAUCCAUAAUCAAAAAUAAAUUUACAAAUUUGAGAAGUUAUAAAUCCGCACAAAUCAAAAACAGAAUCAAGUUCGAUAAAUCUAACUUCACCAAUAACCAAAACAAAAACAAAAACAAAAAACACACACACAAACACACAGUGAACUGAUGAAAAUUGAAAAAUUGAAAAAAUGAAGGAAUAAUUCACCUGUUGAGGAACACCAGGUGGAGAAGCAGUGGUGUAAGAGAUAUCCAAUUCAAAGUUGGUGAAGGGAUCCGCGUCAAAACACACACCGGCGAUGGGCAUCAGUGGCGAGCGGCGCAGGCGGUGGGGGAGCAGAUCUGGCUGCGGAGGGUUUGUCGAUAGAGAGAGUUAGAGAGAGAUGAAGAGAGAAGGGGGCCGAAGUUGUAACGGGUGGGUUGAUACGUGGAAGGCUGGGCCUAGGGUUUUAUGUAUUGCGUGCCUCUUGGGAGGAGGGAGGGCCGAAGCCUCUUCGAUGCGCACGUGUUUCUCAGCGCUACUUAGUAACUCUUCCAGAGUGGUUGGAGGUCUUCCUGCAAUAGAUUCCUUGAAUCUACCUUCCUUCAAGUUUUGUUGAAUGAUUCUAGUGAGCAUGCUUCCUCCCACGUUAGGAACUUUGUGAGAUGCUUCUACAAAUCGUUGAAUGUAGUUGCGGAGGGUCUCGCCCUCUCUCUGGGUGAUAGUGAAGAGGUACGCGGGAGUCUUUGCGUACUCUUUGUUGAUAGCGAAAUGGUGGGUGAAGCGAUCUGUUAGUUGGGAGAGAGCUUCAAUUGACCCAGUGGGCAAGGAGUUGAACCAGCUCAAUGCUCGUUCGGAGAGCGUUGUGCGAAACAUCUUGCAUAUUGCAGCAUCAGUUGGACCAUAAAGAUCUGCCAUGGCGUAGAAUUUUUCAAGGUGCUCAUGUGGGUCACCAGUUCCAUCGAACUGUGGUAGACUCGAGACCUUUACCCGUUGGGGUAGUAUCUCAUUGACUAUUGCGACAGUGAAGGGAUUGUGCCUUAUUGGAGGUAUUGCCCUUCCACCAAUGGGAUUACCUAUGUGGUGAAGGUGAUUUGAGCGAGAUACCUGACUGUUAAUUUCAUCCUCUCCACCAUUGUGUGGAGGAGCUCGUUGGUGAGAGGUGUUGCCUCUUGAAGGUGAACGUGGGUCUUGUCGCCCAGUUCGUGCAUCUUGGCGAUGAGUAGAUUGUUGCAUUCGGGACCGUAGGUCCGAGGUAGAGGAGGAGACACUUAUUUGGUUCUGGACUGGCGGUGGUGCCAUAGGUUGCACCACAGGUGGAGCUGGCGCUGGUACCGCAUUGGGAGCGUUUGCUCCCAUCGUGGCGAUAUAUUGAGCCACUGCCUCGGUGGCGGCGCGAGUUGAGGCUUCUACUAUCAUGCGUUGGAGCGCAUCCUCGGUUAUUUGAACCGUUCGAGGAGUAGGGAGUGGCGGAUUGGCGAGUGGUGGGUCCCGAUGGGGGAUCACCUGAACCUCGCGAGGCGGUUCCUCGGCACGUGGAGGAGGUGGCAAGCCAGAGCCUCCACAGACCGGGAGGUUGUUAGCUGUGUCAUUUUCUCUCCGAGCAGACGCCUCAGGAGGAUCUUGUUGGCUACGUGAUCUGGUUUGCAUCGUUCCCACAGACGGCGCCAAAAUGAUGAUGCUAAUUACUUAGAUCACCUGGGGUAGUGUAGAAAAUGAAUUGGGAGAGCAAAGCAGAUCAGUAGCUUGACAACUUGAUGAUCCUGAUGUACCUGCGAAAUGAACACACGUGAACUACGCCGGGGGUUGAUCCGGCGGAAACCCCUCCGACGCUCAAGUCAGACGUGCUGAUAGUAGAAAUAGUCCAGAGAAUACGUAUAUUAGUAUUGCUCAGUUAAUAGGACGUACCUUAAGGAAUGAGUUCAAACCUUUAUUUCAUAGCUUAGUUGAGAUUGUCGGGCCCAAACCUUACUUGAAGGUGAUUGGGCCUCGGUGAUAAUGGUCUUCGAUAUUGGGCUCGUGGCCCAGUAUGUAAGGAAAUUGUAGGCCCAUUGGGUUGGCCCAAUUAGGCAUAUCAUUAUAUAUAUGCACACACGUAUAGAAUGAUUAUGUAUGUGCAUGCACGUAAUUAUGUAUGCAUGUAGUAUAUUUAUACAUGUAUGUAUGUAUAUUAUUAUUAAUUAGUAAUUCAACUUACGGAAAUAGAAAUGAUCCUAAAAUACUAAUUUACGUAAAUUAAUUACAUAGACGUAAUUCACAUAAUUAAUUUCACGUAAUAAUAUCACCUAGGGAUUCUCGAGUUAAGAAGAUUGAUUUCGGGUUCUGGUUUUGGAAAGGUGGGGUGUUACAUCGUAGAGAGAAUAUAAGCACUAGAAUUGUUGUGUAAAUUGGAACGUACCUUAACAAAUUAGUAAAAACAUUUAUUUAUAUGUCUUUGAUUGGGUUGUAUUUACUUUGUUGGUCCCAAGCCCCUUUGAAGAUGUUUGGGACUUUCAUUGUAGUGGUCUUUUAAAUUGGGCUCGUGACCCAGUGGAUAAAUAAAUCGUGGGCCCAUUGGAUCGGUCCGAUUAUGCAUAUCAUCCAUGACCAACCAUUUUAUUAUUCUAGGUUCAGGGGUUACACCUUUUUCGCCAACAAACCCAUCCCUUUUAAUAUUUUAUAUAUAAAAGAAAGAAACGCUACGGUAACACAGUCAUAAUUCACGACAUCUAUAUUUAUACAAAUAAAUUAAUUUAUGUGUAAAUGAAAACGUAAUGUAUAUAACAAAAAGUUACCUCCAAUCAUUUACACUCAAUUCUUAAUUGUAACCCCAAUUUAAUCAAUUUUGACCAAGAAAUCGUAGAGCGGUGCCGCCAUGCUUCUACCACCGGUGGCGGGUCUUCGCAGAAAUUGAAUAAUCAACGAUUCAAUUUCACGCCAUUUGGUUUAUCUUCAAUUUUAAUUUUUAAUCGCUUGUUCGUCUUCUACCAUAUUUAUUCGCAAUUAUUAUUUUUUUUCUUUUUGUGUAAUUUUCUCAAUUUUAUAGUUGAUUUAGAUAAUUUGUAGUUGAUUUGAUGAAUCUUAUGUCCUCAAUUUUGUAGUUGUUUACGAUAAUUUUAUAGUUGAUUAUGGAAAAUAAAAAUGGAAUAAAAAAUUGGAAAAAAAAAUUUGUUGAUUUCAUAAAUUUUGUAGUUGAUUUUGAAAGAGAAAGGCGGAAACAAAUUGAAAAAAAAUACAUUUAAGACAAAUAUUUAAAACUAUUCAAAAAAAAUAAUUCUUAUUUUAUAAUUGAAUAAAUAAUAAAACGAAAAAAAAAAAGAAAAAGAAAAAGCAUCAAACACCUACAUAACAUUUUAUCAUAAUCCUUAUUUUUUAAUUGAAUAUUUACUGAUAUAUCUAAUACAUUUUAUCAUAAGCCCACACUUGUACAUAACAUGAAAAUAUUAAUUGUAGCCUUCUAAACACAUAGUAGAAUAUGUUUAUUAGAGUUUUUUUAUUAAUGUUGUAGAAUAUUUUUGGAAAUUGCAUUGCAAAAUCUAAUUAUUUAUUUUAUAUUUGUUACACUCAACCGAAAUUAAUAUAUGUAUUUUCAAUUUUAGUAUUAUUUUAUUAGAAGACAUCUAAAUAACCUCAACUAUUCCACUAUUUCAAAACUGGGUUAAGAAAUGUAUAAUUUUUUGAAUAUUUGAUAAGACUUUAGAAUAUAUUAUAACAUUAUCGUCAUCAUUUUUAAUGACAUAAAUUUAACGCUCCGAUUCUCUCAUUCUAAUAAAACUUGAGAACAAUAUUAUUUUUGCGGGUUACACACUUAAACUUCUAUUUAUGCAUGACAAGUGAAACUCCAUACUUGUGUGAAUUUUCAAUUUUAUUAAACUACAUUUUUACUAUUUACUAUUCUCUCUCUCUCUCUCUCUCUCUCUCUCUCUCUCUCUCUCUCUCUUUUCACUAUGUCGAAGCAUUUAGGAAUUCGAUCUUUGACAAAAGCGUUUAGAUCAGUUGGUAAAUUAUUUUAUAAUAUAAUGACCUCUUUUUGGUAUUAUUUUUUUCUAAAAAAAAAAAGUUAAAAGCUAAUGAAUUAAUUAAUUAAUGAUAUCUUUAUUUUUAGUUUUAUUUUUUUCGGGUUUCGAGCUUUGCCAAAUAUCCUCUUUUUUUUGUAUUAAUUGUUUUCAAAAAAAAGUAAAAGAAAUUAAUAUAAAUAAGUUCUUUAUUUUUAUUUUAUUUUACAACUUUUUCAGAUUUCGAGUUUUGCCAAAAACCCCUUUUUGGUAUUAAUUAUUUUUCCAAAAAAGAAAAAGUAAAAAAUAAAUAUAAAUAAGUUAUUUAUUUUUAUUUUAUUUAAUUCUUUUUUGGGUUACGAGCUUUGCCCAAAACGUCAUUUCUGGUAUUAAUGCUUUUCCAAAAAAAAAAAGUAAAAACAAUAUUAUAUAUAUAAAUUCUUUAUUUUUAUUUGCUUUAUAGGUAGCAGCAGCGGGAGCCUUUCUAGGAGCCGCACCCUUUCGGCUUCCUCGGCUCCGAUUCCGACCGGGUCCGACCCAAAGCCGGCGGAUGAGGAGACGACACAGGAGGAGGAGGAGCAGAUGACAGAGGAGGAGGAGGAGUAUGAGGAUGAUGAUGAGUCUGAGUAUGAGGAUGAUGAUGAGUCUGAGUAUGAGGAUGAUGAUGAGUAUGAGAAGAAGAAGAAGGAGGAGGAGGAGAAGAAGAAGAAGGAGGAGGAGGAGGAGAAGGAGAAGAAGAAGAAGAAGAAGAAGGUGAUCAAGAUGUAGACUUUUAUUUUAAUUUUUGAAACUAUUGCGUUAAUUAGUUUAUUAGCUGUAGUUUAUUGUUUAGUUAUUUGUAGACUCUUAUUUUAAUUUGAAACUCCUGUCUUACUUUUAUUUUAAUAGUUGUUGUUUAUUGUUUGUUAUUUUAAGUUCUGAAACUUUUUAUCUAUUAGUAUAGCGGAAGCAAAUGAUCUCUUUGUAAUUUUUAAAACUUUGGAAUGGGACCGAAAUGCAAUUAUUAAAAAUCUCUUCUUUAGAACAAUUAAAACCUUUUGUGAUUUUCGAAAACUAGCCCAGGAGUGUUUAAGUAGACUAAAUGUUUCGUUUGAAAACAAGUUUCGAGAGGAGGAUUUUUGUUCUAGUGCUACACUAUGAAACUACCUAUCUUAUCUUUUUGGUUCGAAAGGAAAUCAAAGUUUUGAAAGGUAUUUUGGUGAGUAUUUCGAAAUCUACUAGUUGAGACGUGAAAAUAGCAAAAUUACUAAACUUACUAUUUGAUAAUAAAAGUUAAGUACGAUCCAUACCGGAUUUAAGUUCAAAAGAUACGAAAAAGGAAAUACGUAGGUUUAAUAUUACAUCACCAAAAUAAACCAAAAUGUUUAGCAUCGUUCAUAGGCCCUCGUACAACUUCCAAAAUCCCGGGCAAGACCUCGAUCCGCUAUUCGAUCCAUUCCGGUGGAGGGUUACUAAUACUACUACCUGCAAUUAAAAGGCAUCUAUAUGAGCUAUAAAGCUCAGUAAGAAAUCCGAUUAAAUAUCGAACUUUAAAAUACGUUUAUAUAUAUAUAUAUAUAUACCGUACUCACAUUCCAAACAACACAAGCCAAAUGGUUAAUCACAUAGUUCACGAAAACACAUUAUUCACACGUAAACACGUACUUGCAAAAUGACUAAAAUGCCCUUUUCGUGAAAAACGUGAAAACACAUUUUUCGUUUUAUCGGAUAUGUGAAAGAUUAAUUUAUGUGCCUGAAUAAUAAACCUGUUACGAGCCCGUUUUCACUAAGUGGAAUCAAUCCACAACAUUUCAUUCUAGUUGGAUACCGACCUUCUAUAUCCCAGCUGUUUACUAUCUGGUAUUCCAUUAAUCUUUCAAAUUUAAAAACCGUGAAAUGCAUCUUUUUUAAAAUCAUGCUCACCAUAAUUAUAUAACACGCACAUAAACAUUACAAAUAUCAAUCAAGUGCCACAAAACCACACAAAUAUUUAUAAUUUGGGCAAAAUCCCCAAAUUCACACACAUAAACACACACAACCACACACGGCGCACACACACACAUACACAUUCAGCAUACACACACACAAGUAUUCAACACACACACCCAUUCAAUAUUCAAACCAUGCUUGUAAAGCAAGCACCCAUUUUCAUCCUUCAUUUAAUGAACUUAUUACAACUUCAAGGAAAUAAUUUCAUUCCAGAAGUAAUUAAACACACCCAUGCAGCAAAUUAAGGUACACAAUCCCAAAUUUCAUCACUCAUGAUUAUUAAUUCAAAGACAUGAAAAUUAAAGCACAAAACAUAAUAAAUGACAUGCAUAAUGUUCUAGUUUCGAAAUAAUAGCAAACCAAUUCCAAAAACUCCCAAAUUAAAUCCUAUAGCUCCUAACUGAUCUAAGUUUUAGUUCUGAAAUUAUUUUAUGUUUCAAAUUUUCUUGGAAUUAAAAACUAGAAAAAUCCCUUUUUCUUUUAAAAAUCCAAAACUCUAAUAUAACCUUAAUUACUUUGAUACAUUUGAAAAGAAAACUUUUUCCCCAUUUAAUACUUGCUGGAAAACAGAUUCCAAAAUUUAGAAAAUGACAGAUUUUUCAGAAAUUACAGUUUUGACCCCAAAUUUCAAGAUUUACACAUGCAAGCAACCACACUAAAAGUUCAACAUCCACUUUUUCAUGAAAAACCCCUAACAAGCUGAGAUGUUAAUUCAAUAAAUGCAGAAGACAAAGUUAAAAAGUUACUAUAGGCAGAAAUUUCGAAAAUUACAUAUUUUACCCCAAAAUCUCUAGAUCUACACAUGCAAGACCACUAGAAGUUCAAAAAUCAAUCUUUAUAGCACAACCUCUUUAAAUCCGAACUUUUUGUUCAAUAAAUGCUGAAAAAAAUAUUUGAAAACACAUUUAGGACUGACUUCUUAAAAAUUACGGAUUUGACCCAAAAAUCUUUAGAUCUACACAUGCAACGCCAUAAAAGUUCAAAAAUUCAUUUUUCUUGCAACCCCUUGAAAUCCGAAAUUUACAAUGCUUUCGGCCAAUAAAACUUGUAUCUACCCACUACCAACACAAAUGAUGCAUGCAAGAACAAGAAAUCAACACUCAACAUUUCUUUUCCAUUUUUCCCCGAAAAGCCCUAAUUUUCUCGAAAUCUCUCCAAAUCUUAUAAGAAAUUUUGAAAACCAUUUUGAUACUAUUGACACCCUUUAAUUGCAGCAAGAAAUCAAAAUUUCUUACCUUAUCACCGAAGAAAGGAAAAACAACCGAAGGGGAGAGCUUUCAAAUACCGAAGUCUAGCCAAGCAACUUUGAUUGUGAAGGAGAUGGUGUGAGCUUCUAAGAGGGAUGUGUUAUUAUCUCCCGUGAGUAGGCAAGAAGUCUUUAUCAUUAUAUCUAUGUUUGUGACAAAGGGACAAAGAUAUAGAAUGUCAAGGUGUUUUUAUCAUUAAUACGAAAAAUGUUUAUUUAUUACAAGAAUAAAUGGAAAGACCACAACCACAUGUUGGCUUGUUGGUCACCUACUCUAACACUAAGCCGGGGUUGAUCCGGCGGAAACCCCUCCGACGCUCAAGUCAGAUGUACGGAUCGUGGAGAUCGUAUGUAGCACCCAUCUUCUUAUCGGGCGAUAAGUCGAACCGGUUUAUCGGAAUACUCGUUUAUAUAGCGGAAGCAAAAUGAUCUCUUUUUAAUUUUUAAAACUUUGGAAUGAGACUAAAAUAAAAUUAUUAAAAAUCUCUUCCUUAGGAUAUUCAAAACCUUUGUGAUUUUCAAAAACUUUCUUAGGAGCAUUUUAGUCGACUAAAUGUUUCAUUUGAUAACAAGUUUCGAGAGGAGGAUUUUCGUUCGAGUGCUACACUAUCAAACUAUCUAUUUUACUUUUGGUUCGAAAAGAAAUCAAAGUUUUGAAAGGUAUUUUUGUGAAUAUCUCGAAAACUACUAGUAAGACAUGAAAUAACAAAUUUACUAAACGGACUAUUUUAUAAUAAAAGUCAAGUACAAUCCAUACCGGAUUUGAGUUCGAAAGAUUCGAAAAGGGAAUACUUAAGAUUACUAUUACAUCGCAAAAAACCAAAAUACUUUAGCAUCGUUCAUAGGCCCUCGUACAACUUCCAAAAAUCCCGGUUAAGAACUCGAUCCGCUACUCGAUCCAUUCUGGUGGAGGAUAACUAAUAUUACUACCUGCAAUUAAAAGGCAUCUAUAUGAGUUAUAAAGCUCAGUAACAAAUUCGAUUAAAUAUCGAACUUUGAAAAUACGUUAUAUAAUAUAUAUAAUAUUAUAUAGUUAUCCUUACUCACAUUUCAAACACCAUAAGGCAAACGGUUAAUCACAUAAUUCAACACAUCAUUUACACAUAACCACUUAUGCAAAAUGACUAAAAUGUUCUUUUUAUGAAAAUCGUGAAAAACACAUUUUUCGUUUUAUCGGAUCCGCCAAAUAUUAAUUUUUGAACCUGAAUAAUAAACUUGUCACGAGCCCGUUUUCACUAGUGGAGUCAAACCACACAUUUCAUCCUAGUUGGAUACCGGCCCUCUAUAUCCGAGUUGUUUGAUAUCCGGCAUUCCAUUAAUCUUUCAAAUUUAAAAACCGUGAAAUGCAUGUUUUUCAAAAUCAUGCUUACAACAACUAUAUAAUCCACAUAUAACAUCAUAAAUAUCAAUCAAGUGCCAUAUAACCACACAAAUAUCACAACUUACCACAUAAUACAUAUUUAUAACUUAGGCAAAAAUUCCCCCAUUCACACAUAAACAAACACAGCCACACACGGCACACACACAUAUACACAUUCAGCACACACACAUAUAUGCAGCAUACACAUUAAUAUACCACCAUUUAAUACCCAAAUCAUGCUUGGAAAGCAAGGGUCAUCUUUAUCUUUCAUUUAAUGAACUUAUUACCAAUUCUAGGUAAUAAUUUCAUUCCAAAUAAAUUCUAGCAGCAAUUAAUACAUCCAUGCAGUAAAUUAAGGUACACAAUCCCAAGUUUUAUAACUCAUAAUUAUUUAUUCACAGACGUGGACAUUAAAGCACAAAACAUAAUAAAUGGCAUGCAUAAUUUCCUAAUUUCAAAAUAAUAGCAAACCACUUCCAAAAAUUCCCAAAUUAAAUCUUAGAGUUCUUAACUGACCUAAGUUUUAGUUUCUGAAAUUAUUUUAAAGGGACUAUUAGUGAGAACCCCCUCUAGUAUUUUUUUAAUAAGAGUGGAUCGAACCACUUUUUCAUUAUUAGUGAUAAAUCCAAAUAUUUCUUUAUUCCAAAUAUGCCCUCUUCACUGUUAACUUCCCAUUAAGACAUUUCCCACUAAUACGAUGAUGGAUUUUUUAUUUUUUCUAAUUAUUUCUCUUAUAUAAUUUUAAUUUCCAUUUUUAUUCAUUUAUUAAAAAAUGAAUAAUAAAUUAUUAUUUUAUUAACUAUUUGUUUUGUAAUUUUUAGUUUUCUCGUAUAUAUAUACACACACACACACACACACACACACACACACACAUAUAUAUAUAUAUAUAUAUAUAUAUAUAUAUAUAUAUAUAUAUAUAUAUAUAUAUAUAUAUAAUUUUAUUUUCAAAACCUUUUUUAAGCUCUUUUCCAAUAAUCAAAUACAAAAUUACUAAAUCUACUAGUUUUAUUGAAAUCAACUAUUUUUUUUUUUGCCAUAAUCAACUAUGAAAAAACUAUAAAACAACUAUUAAAAAUAGUUGUUUUCAAUAGCAAGUUUACCAAAAAUGAAACUACUACAAAUCAACUAUAAAAAUUUACAAUCAACUAUAAAAUUCUCGAAAUCAACUAUAAAAUUGUCGAAAAUCAACUAAUAAACUAUCAAAAACAACUACGUAAUCGAAAACAACUACAUUUUGAUUAAACCAACUACUUAAUCCAAAACAACUACGUAAUCGAAAACAACUAUAUUCAAGAAAAUGACUACAAAAUCGAGCGAAUAUAACAACAAAAACAUCUUCUUCCACAAUCCGCGAAUGGAGGGCGGCAAUUUAUGGCAGCAGAUGAAGAAUGAUGCCGCGUAUGAAAACACCAUAUACCCGAAUCCACGACGGAUGUGACGAUUAUGACUGCGGAUGAAAGACGAGGCCACGUCGGACACCGAUCGGGAACCCACCAUGUCUAAUUACACCAUUUCAAAUAUCCUCUCACGAUUCCAAAUUCAAAAUCAACAACAGUAAGCUUCAAGAAGAAAAAAAAAAAAAAAAAAAAAAAAAAACUAAAAUAAAAGAAACCCUCUAUCGUAACCACUUAUUUUUUAAUUCUUCUUGGAAGGAUGGUAAUUAAAAAUUAAUUUCCAAACCUAUGACUUCUGCCAUCAUUUUCUCUCCAUUCACUAUAAUUGACAGGAUCCGCCGUUGCUACAAUAAUCGGUAAAACCAUAGUCGUCAUCGAUGUAAACCCCAGCGGAAAAGUUGUGAUUUUCAUCGCUCACGCAAAAUCAGCAACAAAGGUCCAGAGGAGUGGGGCACUGAACGUGGAUCUAACUCUUCCCCUUCGACGUAACAUAGAUGUACUUCCACUAUGUGUCCUUCAACUCCGGCGAGAUACGAAGUCGGGACCGAGAUUUUGAGGAGCAAAAGAGUGGUAGAGGUUUAAUGGAGAGCGGAAGGAAAGAGAAGGAGAAUGGAUUCUUGGGCGGCUGAUGGGGAGGACGACGUGUCCAUAGAAUAAGUAGGGUUAACNNNNNNNNNNNNNNNNNNNNNNNNNNNNNNNNNNNNNNNNNNNNNNNNNNNNNNNNNNNNNNNNNNNNNNNNNNNNNNNNNNNNNNNNNNNNNNNNNNNNGGGGGCUUUCACUAAUAUGCUAAAUGAGAUUAAUAUUAUGGGACUAUUAGUGAGAACCCCCUCUAACAUUAUUUUAAUAAGGAUGGGUCCAGCUCAUUUUCCUUUAUUAGUGAGAAACCCAUUCUUUUUAUAUUCUCAAAUUUACUCUCCCACUAUUCACUACUUAUUAUCCACUAGUUUGAUAUUUUUUUAUUUUUUAUGUUUUAAUUUUAAUUUUCGUUUUUUUAUUUAUUUCUUCUUUAAAAAAUAAUAAUUUUUUUAAAAAAACUUUUUUUAUUUUUUUUAAUAUUUUUCUUUAAAUAUUUAUUUUCUAUAUUCUUUUAGUUUUCAGUUAAAACAACUAUAUGCCAAUAAAACGACUAUUAUUAAAACGACUAUUAUUAAAACGACUAUUAUUAAAACAAUUAGUAUUAAAACAAUAAUACAUAAGUUUCACAAUUUAUUAAAUAUAUUAUAUUAUUUCCAUUGUAAGAUUAACUAAUUAUUUAAUCAAAAAAUCUCCAAAACAACUAUUUGUUAAAAUCAACUAUUUAUUCAAACAAUAAUAUUGUUGUGCAAAAAUAACUAUGUUGCUAUACGAAAACAACUAUAUUUAAUCAACUACAAAUUAUUGAAAUCCACAAAAGCAAAAGCCAAAAAAUACACCAAAAUUCCAACAAAAACGACUAUUAUUGAAACCAACUACAACCGUAACGAAAACAACUAUAUCUUUUUGAGUAACACGAACACAAUUUCAACAAACCAGCCUCCCAAACAAUACCUCCUCCUCGAGGUCAAUCUAUUCCAUUACAGCGGUGGUGGAGGCGGUCUUCCGACGAGGAUUCCAGGAAUGCUUCCAAAAAUCGAAAGAAAAAAAAAACAACUAUAUUGUUGCAAAAGAUACCCAUCAACAACUAUACAAAAUAGUAGAAUAACGAAAACAACUAUACAAAAUAGUAGAAUAACGAAAACAACUAUAUUGCUGCAAAAGAUACCCAUCAACAAAAACAUCUCCGAUUUGUUUUUAAAAAUUAUGGUUGCGGUGGGGCAGAGCGAUGUUACCAGAUCCGACGAUGGAGACGAGGGUGGAGGUAGAGAGGAUUAACAAUUACAAAAAAAAACGAAGGGUCUCCCAUAGUCGAUUCCAACGCCUUUGAUGGCCACCGAAUAUAACGAAUAAAUCGAAUGUGCUAUGCAUAAAAUAAAAUAAUCCCGAUGUCCGCAACUAUUUCAUACAUAAAGACAAACACAAAACAAUUCUAUAAAAAUUCAAAUCAGAACACACAAUAAUAUCCAAAAUUUGUAAUAACAUCAACAAAUUGCUGAUUUUCUAUUUAAACAAACGCAAGACUCAAAUCAGAAAAUUAUUCAACAAAUAAGACAUGAUAGAAAUCGAAUCAUACUGCAAUUUGACAAUUGAAUCAAGACAACAACAUCAUAACAAUUAAUCUAAAAAAUCAAUCAGUUGCAAAAUAAAAAUGAGUAAAUAAUGAAGGAAUUUGACAGACAAACCUAAAUAAUCUCGUUUGCUUCGAUUCGGAUCUCGUCGUCACCUUUGUUACACCGCCAUGAAGGCUAAGAGGUCGUCGACGUCGGAUCGGAGUCAUGUGACGCUGGAAGUUGUUCCCAAAAAACGCCGGAGAAAUGGAUUGAAGAAGAAGCUUCGUCAUCUUCUUCAUAAUUGCCCUUAACCAUGGGAUUCGCACAUAAAAAGGCUAUUGGGAGAGAAGAAGAGGGAUGAAAAAAAAUAUAGAUCGUGAGGCGGUGGUGGGGAGAGGCUGCGUGGCUGAGGUGCAGAUCUGUGGCGAGGGAGAGAAAAAGAGAGAGAUGCGGCUGGUGAAGAAAAGUGAGGGGAAAAAUAGGGUUAAUGAUAUUUAAGGGUAAUAUAGAGAUAUCCCUAAAAUUUGAAUUUUUGGUAAAUUAAAAUAUAUAAUGAGGGGGGUUUUCACUAAUAUGGAAAAUGAUCUUAUAUCCAUCCUAAUAUAACUAAAUGUGUUUGGGGGUUUUCAAUAAUAAUCCCUAAUAUUAUAUCCAUCAUAAUACAGUAUACUCAAAUGUAUUGGGGGGUUUUCACUAAUCUUCCCUAUUUUAAAAUUGCAUCAAGUUUCAAAUUUUCCUUGGAAUUAAAAACUCGAAAAAUCCCUUUUUCCUUCUAAAAAUCCAAUACUCUAGUAUAACCUUAAUUAAAUUUGAAUCAUUCAUAAAGAAAACUUUCAUCUCAUUUAAUACUUGCUGGAAAAGAGAUUCCCAAAUUUAGAUGUGACUGAUUUUUUGGAAAUUACAGUUUUGACCCAAAAGUUUCAAGAUUUACACAUGCAACCAUACUAAAAGUUAAAAAUCCGAUUUUUCACGAAAAAAAUUCUACAAUCUGAAAUUUUAUUUUAAUAUAGUCAGAAAACAAAGUUAAAAAGUUACUUGAGGCAGAAAUUUCAAAAAUUACAUAUUUUACCCCAAAAUUUCUACAUCUAUACAUGCAAGACCACUAGAAGUUCAAAAAUCAAAUUUUCUUGCACAACCUUUUUAAAUCCGAUUUUUUUACUCAACAAAUGCUGAAAAACAAAUUUGAAAACAUAUUUAGGACAGACUUCUUGAAAAUUACAGAUUUAGCCCAAAAAUCUUUAGAUCUACACAUGCAACCCCAUAAAAGUUCAAAAAAUCAUUUUUCUUCCAACACCCUUUAGAAAUCCGAAAUUAUUUUUGCUUUUGGCCAAUAAAACUUGUAUCUACCCACUACCAACAUAAAUAAUGCAUGCAAGAACAAUAAAUUAACAAUCAACACAACUUUUCUUAAAAAAAUUCCAAGUCUAUUAAGAAAUUUUGAAAAGCCCUUUGAUACUAUUGACACCCUUUAAUUGCAGCAAGAGAUCGAUAUUUCUUACUUAUUAACCGAAGAAAAGAAAACAACCGAAGGAGAGUGCUUUAAAUACCAAAGUCUAGCCAAGCAACCUUGAUGGUGAAAGAGAGGGUGUGAGCUUCUAAGAGAGAUGUGUUGUUUUCUCUCGUGAGAAGACAAGAUGUUUUGAUGGUGUUUUUGGUGUACUCUAUAUUGGGUUAUUUUAAUAAAAAUAAUAUAUUUCAUUAUAAAAUAUAAUAAUGACUUUUACCACUUUUAUGAGGGUCAUUAAACGACUAUUUUGAAACCUUCAAAUUCAUUAUUCUCCUACAUAAAACACCAUAAAUUCUAAAUUAAAUUGAGGUUUUAUUGGGGUCAUGUUAUACAAGUUAUUUCUAUGCUACACCUGGUGAAGGUUACACCGGGUGAUUUUUUUACCGUUGAUCUAUACACACCAAUGUGGGCGUGUGUGUGUUUGUGUGUACAUGAAUGGUAAAGAUCUACCCGAUGUAUUUCACGCGGUGUAGCAUAGUAUAAACCUAUUAUACAUUAUAUUAUGGGGAUAUUGUGGUUCGCAAGUAGAUGGGAGAAGAGAAUAAAAACUAAAUUUCUAACGAUCCUAUAUAUAUUAUAUGUUUAGCACUUGUUGUGUGUCGGGUAUAAGUUUCUACUUCACUUGAACGUGCAAUUUCAGUGAAGUUACUGCAGAGAGAUAGGCUGGGUUGCUGUGUCCCAUAGGCGACACGAUCGGAAUCUUUUUGCAUCAUUAGAGAAGGAGUCAUGAAAUUCGUCUUACGAGAGCGACCUAGUCCGCGCCUAUCUUCAUAUUAUUAUAAUUUUUUUUGCAGCUAAUCGUCAACUAUGUAAAGAUGAAGCAAAUGGAGUAAGCCUCAAUCACAAGUUUUAUGAUCAAUCGUCAAACUGCAACCGUGGUUCCAACACUCUAAACCUAGAGUUCAGUAGGGAACUUUCAUUUUUUUAUUUUUGGAUUUCUUUGAAAAAUGGAGUUGAGGUGGAAGAAGAAAGCCGAUGGUGGAGAUGGAGGUGAAGACAAGUAACAGGAUUAUGUGGUAGAAGAAGGAGAAAGAAGAGUGUCUUUUGAAAUCUCUUGAGUGUGUGAUUAGUGAAAAUGAUUAGCAUUUGCCAAGUGGAAAGGCAUGCAAAUUAACAUUAAUUUUCUUUAAUAAAAAAAAAAAAAAAACAUGCAUACGCCAACACCACACACAUAUACACACGGUCACUCUCACACACACACAUAUUAACACACACACACACACACACAUAUAUAUAUAUAUAUAUAUAUAUAUAUAUAUAUAUAUAUAUAUAUAAUAUUACCUCACUAAGCAAGCCAUAUAUAUAUAAUGGUGCAUAUAUAUACACAUAUAUAUAUAUAUAUAUAUAUAUAUAUAUAUAUAUAUAUAUAUAUAUAUACACGUAUAGAAUGAGUAUGUAUGUGCAUGCAUGUAAUUAUGUAUGCAUGUAGUAUAUUUAUACAUGUAUGUACGUAUAUUAUUAUUAAUUAGUAAUUCAACUUACGGAACUAGAAAUGAUCCUAAAAUACUAGUUUACGUAAAUUAAUUCACAUAGUCAGAUAAAAACACAUAUAUAUCUGCUCGCCUAAUUUACAUAAUUAAUUCCACGUAAUAAUAUCAUCGAGGGAUUCUCGAGUUAAGAAGAUUGAUUUCUGGUUCUGCGGUUUUGGAAAGGUGGGGUGUUACAUCUUAGAGAGAAUAUAAGCACUAGAAUUGUUGUGUAUAAUGGAUGUUAUGUAUAAUGCAACGUACCUUAACAAAUUAGUAAAAACUUUAUUUAUAUGUCUUUGAUUAGGUUGGAUUUACUUUGUUGGGCUCAUGCCCCCUUUGAAGGUGUUUGGGCUUUCGUUGUAGUGGUCUUUUAAAUUGGGCUCGUGACCCAGUGGAUAAAUAAAUCGUGGCCCCACUAGAGCCGUCCAAUUCUGCUUAUCAUCCAUGACCAAUCAUUUUUAUUAUUCUAGGUUCAUGGGUUAUAUCUCUUUCGCCAACAAGUUCAUCCCUUUUAAUAUUUUAUAUAUAAAAGAAAGAAACGCUAGGGUAACACAGACACACAGUCAUAAUCCACGGCAUCUAUAUUUAUAGAAAUAAACUAAUUAAUGUAUAAAGGAAAAAGUAAUGUAUAUGACAAAAUUUAUCUCAAACCCUUUACACUCAAUUUUUAAGUGUAACCCCAAUUUAAUCAAUUUUGAUCAAGAAAUCAUGGGGCGGUGCCGUCACGCUCCUACCACCGGUGGCGGGUCUUUGCAGAAAUUGAAUAAUCAACGAUUCAAUUUCACGCUAUUUGGUUUGUCUUCAAUUUUAAUUUUUAAUCUCUUGUUCGUCUCCUACCAUGUUUACUCGCAAUUAUUUUUUUCGUUCUUUUUUUUUUGUGUAAUUUUUUCAAUUUUAUAGUUGAUUUAGAUAAUUUGUAGUUGAUUUGAUGAAUCUGAUGUCCACAAUUUUGUAGUUGUUUACGGUAACUUUAUAGUUGAUUAUGGAAAAUAAAAACAAAAAAAAAUUGAAAAAAAAAAAUUGUUGAUUUCAGAAAUUUUAUAGUUGAUUUUGAAAAAAAAAGACGGAAAAAAUUGAAAGAAAAUAUAUUUAAAAAAAUAUUUAAAACUAUUAAAAAAAUAAUUAUUUUUUAAUUGAAUAAUUAAUAAAACGAAAAAAAAAAGAAAAAGAAAAAGCAUCAAACACCUACUAGAAUAUUUACUCAUAUAUCUAAUACAUUUUAUCAUAAGCCGACACUAAUUUAUCCAUGAGCUAACAUUGGCAAGCAUACAAUGGAUGAACCCAAUAGGAAAAAUAGAGUGGUUAUUGUAUUUUCUAGCUUCCCACACUUGUACAUAACAUAGAAAUAUUAAUUGUAGCCUUCUAAACAUACAGUAGAAUAUAUUUAUUAGAACUUUUUAUUAAUGUUGUAGAAUAUUUUUGGAAAUUAAAUUGCAAAAUAUAAUUAUUUAUUUUAUAUUUGUUAUACUCAACCAAAAUUAAUAUAUAUAUAUAUAUUUUUAAUUUAAAGUAUUAUUUUAUUAAAAGACAUCUAAAUAACCUCAACUAUUCCACUAUUUUAAAAUUGGGUUAAGAAAUGUAUAGUUUUUUGAAUAUUUGAUAAGACUUUAGAAUAUAUUAUAACAUUAUUGUUAUCAUUUUUAAUGACAUAAAUUCAACGCUCUGAAUCUCUCUUUCUAAUAAAACUUUAGAACUAUAUUAAUUUUGCGGGUCUAACACUAAAACUUCUAUUUAUGCAUGAUAAGUGAAACUCCAUACUCAUGUGAAUUUUAUUAAAGUGCAUUUUUAUUAUUUACUAUUCUCCUCUCUCUCGCUCUCUUUUCGCUAUGUCGAAAAAUUUGGGCUUUCGAGCUUUGACAAAAGCAUUAAGAUCAGUUGGUAAAUUAUUUUAUAGUAUAAGAACAUGUUUUUGGUAUUAUUUUUUUCUUAAAAAAAAAGGAAAAGAAAGUAAAAAAGCCAACGAAUUAAUUAAUGAGUUCUUUAUUUAUUUUAUAUAUAUAUUUUUUUUGGGUUUCGAUAUUUGCCAAAUAUUCCAUUUUGGUAUUAAUUCUUUUCCAAAAAAAUAAAUUAAUUUUUUUUAAUAUAAAUAAGUUUUAUUUUAUUUUAUUUUAAUUCUUUUUGGGGUUACGAGCUCUGACAGAACCCCUUUUUGCUAUUAAUUUUUGUAAGAAAUUAAUAUAUAUAUAAAAGUUGUUUAUAUUUCUACUUAAUUAUUAUUUUUAUUUGAUGCGUUCUAGGUAGUAGCAGCAGCGGGAGUCGCACCCUUUCGGCUUCCUCUGAUCCGGUUCCGCCCGGGUCCGACCCGAAGCCGGCGGAUGAGGAGACUACACAGGAGGAGGAGGAGCCGACGACUGAUGAGGAGCCGACGACUGAGGAGGAGCCGACUGAGGAGGAUUCGUGCCCAGGUAAUCUCUUAAACGUAAUUCAGAUUGUUGACUAUUUAGGGUUUUUAUAAUUUAAAGGGCAUUUUUGCAUUUUUCAGAAAAUACUUGCUGCUAUUAAUUUUACUAUAUACCGAGAUGCAUGCUAGCUAAUUUGUUCGAUAGAAAAUUCUGUUUACCGAUAUUUUUAUUCAUUGAUUUUUUUCUUAAUUUUAAUUACUAAUAUUUUGAUUUUGUAGGCUAUUUUUCUUGCCCCGUGUGCAAUGAAACUUUCGAGAAUAAACAUAAUCUAGUGAACCAUGAAAUAAGCCGCCAUGGUGAGGAUGAGGAUGACGAUGAGGAGGAGGAGGAGAAGAAGAAGGAUGAUCAUUGAGGACGAGGGUGUAGACUUUUAUUUCAAUUUCUGAAAUUAUUUUAAUUUCUGAAACUGUUAGAUUAAUUUGAUAUAGUAGGUUGUUGUUAUUGUUAUUUCAAGUUAUUUGUAGACUUAUUUUAAGUCUUAAUUUUAUUUUAAUAGUUUUGUUGUAGACUCUUAUUUUAAGUCUUAAUUUUAUUUUAAUAGUUUUGUUUAUUAUUGUUAGAAUGGUAAGUUGGAGUAUAGAAUGGUAGAAAUAAUUGAAAAGAAUGUAAACAUGAAUGGGCUACUUAUAUUACUCCUCCUUUAUCCACCUAAGCUAGAGUCCAAGAUCCCUAAUUUACAUAGUUAGCAAAUGUGAUCAAUAUACCCUGCCUGACAUCACCAACAGAGAAACAAAUACAAAAGAAAAUUUAAAUUGGAAACCUGAAAUCCCAUCAUCCGAAAUGGAUAUUAAAUGUGUUUUUUUGAAAUUAAUUAUACGAGAUUCAUCAAGAAAAUCAAAAGUUCAAGGACAAAGCUUGUGUAUGUCUUGGAGUGUGUAAUAUAAUCUGACUGCGAGAACUAUGGGAGAAGGAAUAAGUGUCCGAGCGAAUCUGAAGUUCCUUCAAGAUUACGUCGUUUUCAGAAUCACCACUUGAUAAUUUCAUCGACCCUUAAGCCCUAAGGCACAGAAAUGGCGGGAAUCGAAUGGAUCGCGGCGGCCGGUGGCGGUGUUGUAAAUAGAGAGCAAUGGAACGGCGUCGUGACGUCAUUUUUCUGCGGGUUUCUAGUGAUCGGCCCAGCCCGAGUUCUGAACGCACUAACUACCGGGUCAUUAAUGCAGUGAUGGAACGGCGUUGUGACCGCCAUUUUUCUGCCCUACCAGCACCUCUCGCAGUAAAACUUCUUUAGGACAGCCUUCAUCAUUAGCAAUCUUGAAUUAACACUAUAAUCAAGCGACGGAAACGAAUCUAAAUUCAGAUUCGGAUCCGAAACAUGCCCCCGCCUCAAGUUCGGCCGAUUCGAAUAUCCGGUCGCCGUUGCCGUUUGAUAAUUUGCCCUCUGAUUUUGAACGCUCGCCCUUUGCGACUGACCUUGAAGUUCAUCAAGCUUCAUCUGAGGGUUCAAAUCAGCCCGAUCCGAAACAUGGCCCGGCCCCAAGUUUGGCCGAUCCGAAUAUCUGGUCGCCAUUGCCCUUUGAUAAUUCUCCCUCUGAGUUUGAAGGCUCGCCCUUCGCAACCGUUCAAUUCAUCAAGCUUCAUCCGAGCGUUUAAAUCAGCCAGCUGCGCUUGCAUAUUUUGGUGGGGAACCGGCGCAGGUUGAUUCCUCUGUAGCAUAGUCAGAUUCUCCGCCGCCGAAGUACUAUAGUACUAGAAGAGCACGUGUUUCCGGUCGACAAAUCGGCGAGCUCAGCGCCGUUCGACACCAUCUCCGGGCGAUUUCUCGACUUCCGAGACCUUUUCAAGAUGAUAAAAAAGGAAUGUUCCUUCAGGCUACAUACUACGCGGAAGUCGAUCCUUGGGGUAACCAGAAAUGCAGGGCGAUCCUCCGAGAUCGUCGAGUUACCGUCCUCAUCCAGCGGGACGACGAAUGUCAAAAUUUGACCCGGCGAGACCCCAAUUCUUUUCAUUAUCGUCAACUGAAAAGUCCUGAAUUCCAUGGCUGGAUGAAUUUUGAGACCUCCGAUCAUGUUCAGCUUCUCGCCGUCGUGGAAAACACCGGGAACACCGUCAUGCCGCCAUCCUCCAUGACGGCAUUGAAAGGAAGAUGGAGGGAAUUGGAAUCGUAGAUAUAUUUGUGUCGGAUGAAUUCCAGAUUCAGAUCUAGAUAUUGUUUUAAUGUUUUACAGAGAGUUGCAACAGUUAAUGAAACAGUAAUAAAAAAACACAAAGUGGUUCGGAUACAAUUGUACCCUACAUCCACGGGGACCUGCAAAUAAAAUUUACUAUUUUUUUAGUUUUACGAAUACAAUAAUAGGACUUAAUCAAAAUACAAAGACUCUCUCUUUGUUGACGCCGUUCUUGUAUACUACGCUGAAUUAUCAAUCUUCACUUUGCAGCACGUCCCUUGUUCCGCACGGUUGAAAUCCCUUCAACGCUGAAUCCCUCAGUCGGCGGAUCGACCUGCUCCCGAGAUCUUCUAAGCUCUCCUCCCGAAGAACCGAUCUUCUUUUCACGUGAAAGAAGCAAACCUUUGAAUAUAUUUCUCUUCUAAAAAAAGAUCAAAUAUCGGGAGCAACAACGUAAAAAGAGUAGAAAAUUAUUUUUCUCUCUCACAAAAAGGACAACGUUACAACACGCUGGUGCUCCUAUAUUUAUACUUCCUCGGUUGAAUAGAAGAGCGCUACAAAAGAUUAGAGCCUAGUAGGUUAGUUUCAAUCUUACGUAAGGAAAAUGAAUUGUGUGAUAACGAAAGUUUUUGUCAAGGAAAUUCCUUGUUAAUACAUGACUCACACAAUUAAAAUAAAUUAAUGACAAAAUAAGAGUUUAAAGCAUUAAGGAAACUUCCCUAACUUUAGACACACGUUUUUCACACGUGCUGAAAAAUAAAGUCAGAAUCCUCUCGGAUAAAUAUUUACAGAAAAAUAAAGUCAGAAUCCUCACGCAAUGUGCUUUAUUAACGUCGAAGUGGCGAAGUGGUUGCUUGAAAUAAAAACUAAACUAGCGGGAGAAAAGUUUUUCUUGGUGGGACUUUCCUAUGAGUAGGAUGGCGGGUUCUUUCGUAGGCUCCCCCUUCAAGCGUAGAAUUGCUUGAGAUUGGCUACGUUCCAGGUCCUUGGUACUUGAUGGCCGUCUGGAUGUUGUAGUCGAUAAGCUCCUGUGUGGACUAUUUCCCUGCGAGUGGAGGCUGGUUCCCGAACUUCUUCAAUCCAUUCAAGGCGGACUCUCAUGGCUAUUUCAUUUUUUAGGGGAGAGUAGUUGGUGAUUCUCCAAGAUGGUUCUCCUAUCUCGGCGGGAGCCACAACUUCUGCUCCGAAAGCUAAGUUGAAUGGGGACUCUUCCGUGGUGGUUCUUGGGGUUGUUCUAUACGCCCAUAGAACACUUGGUAGCUCGUGUACCCAUCUGCCCUUGGCAUUUCCUAGUCGAGUUUUGAGGUGCUGUAGUAUAGUGCGGUUGGUUACUUCAGCUUGGCCAUUGUGUAGCACCCGGUUUACUUUACACUCUAUACCGGAAAAUGGUAUUAAGAUUUUUCUAUUAAGUUGCAGCGGAAGACCUUUUAAAAAUACGGUUUUGUUUUUCGAGACAAAUUUCUAGAGAAAGGUGGUAAAGUUUUCUCUAGUUUUGAAAAUACUUGAAGUGUUUCGCUUCAAUUUUAGUUCGAUAAAAAUCUUUCUUCAAAAAAAUAAAACUUUGAAGUCGAACACUUCAUAAAUUUAGUCAAAAACAUUCUCUCCAUAUUCGGUGCCACAUUUUUCUUUAAAAAAUUUCUUGUUCCGAAUAAUGAAUUCGGGUUGUGGUGGAGAUCAUAAGAAAUCAACAUUAGAAAAUAACAAGAAUAGUCGGAAAACAUUAUGUUAUACAUAAGAGUUAAAAUCAUUUCCCGAUAACAUAUUCAAGUACUACGGAUUACAAUCCACUAAAAAGAUUUAAGUACCAAAGCGAAAGUUUAUUAAAAUCCACAUAAAUUCCAUACGGCUCGAUCCCUCGGCUUUCCCCGAACUUGGUUCAACUUGGCUCCUCGGAUUCGGGUCAUGAGUUACCUACACCAAGAUAACAUCUAUAUGAGCCUUUAAAAAGACUCAGUAAGAAUCUGGAAGUAAUAACAAGGUUUUGAAAAAGUCUUUACACAUAAUUUAUACACACACACACACACAUACACACACACACACAAACACACACACACACAUAUAUAUAUAUAUAUAUAUAUAUAUAUAUAUAUAUAUAUAUAUAUAUAUAUAUAUAUAUAGGCAUACACGAACACAUAAUAAACUUACGAUCAUUCAAACUUACACUAACUAUACCUUACCUUUACCUUUCCUUUAAACCUUUCAAAGAUACUUAACAUCCUUUCAUAUUCUUUCAAAAGUCAAGUACUUAACACCCUUCUUUUCUUUACUUUAAUAUGCAAAAUUCGGGGACUUAACACCCUUCUUUUCUUGAAUUUAAUAUGCAAUAUGCAUGAACAUGAGACUUUAGACUUUCAAAACUUUUCAUGAGAAAACAUUGGGCCCGUUUGGAAAAACAAUCGUGGAGUUCGCCAAUAAGCCGUGUAUUUUGGAGCUUGUGAUCUAUAACUUUACUAUAGUCACGGCUAUAACUUUCCUAUAGCCAAGUUAGUGGUUUAUAAUCAUGAUUCCUAUGUGAAUCAGUCCCUAUGUGGACAGGUCCCUAUGUGGACCCCAACUAUCAACCACUAACGGAAUACCAGCCCCCCGUAUCUCAUACUUAUUCACCUAGAUCCACAACCAAUUUCCAAAAUUUUAACUUUGAAAAAUCGUGAUUUAUGCAUCUUAGACUUACUAAUGAAUCACAUGAAGCUUACAUGAUCUAUCUAUGUUUACUUUCACAUAAACAAGCAUAAAAGUAAUACUUCACAUCUUUAAUCAAACCACUGAACACAUAAUCAUAUAGAACAUAGCACUUUUACUUUCACAUUUAAUUUCAUAAGUACACAUAAACAUUUAAUAUUACAUAGUAGCACCAAGAAGGGCAUUCUUCAACUUUAACUAUAUUAUAAUCACAUAAUCAUUUAACCAUGUCAUUCAUAGCACAUCAAUAUCACUGAUAUCAUGAAUUAUGAAAAUUAUCACAUACGGCAUUAGUUCACUCUAAUCACUUAAUACAUACACCUUUACUUCAAAAGUGUCACAUAUCAUAAUAUAUGAAAACAAUCAAGUAUUCUAACUUAUCAUAGAUAUUUUUUAAUCAUUUUCCUAAAUCUUGCACUUGAUUCAUAACACCGUUCUAGGCUAGUAGACUAUAAUUCUUUCUUAGGACAUGCAACAUGAUACAUAAACUUAGAUUAUUAGGACAUAACUUGGAUUUUUCACCUUCAUUACUAACCUAUCUUUCAUACCUCGGAUAUUAGAACAAUGAUCACAAAUCAUACUUUGAUAAAAAUACUCAUCUUAAGAAAAUCAAACAGGUUUGGUAUCCUAACUUUGAAAUAUCAUUUCUCUUGAACCAAAAAUCAAUGCCUUUGAAUUUUUUUGCAACCUAAUCAUUUAUAUGUCUUUAAAACCACUAAGAAACAGUUUAUAAAAAUGAUCAUCCGAAUAAAAGAUAUAAAUAAAUUUCUAAGGGGGUACAGUUUUGAAAUCUGAACUGAUGGAGUGACUUUAAAAAUUUAUUUUGCUUUACAGAUUAAUCCAGAACUUUUGAAAGUUUAACUCCAUAUACUAUUAGGAGUCUUAUAUACCCCAGAAAAACAAUUUUAGAAAAUCCUUAGGAAAUUAGGAUAAAUAAGUAAAAUAGUAUAGUAGUGCAGUUUAAAACUCAGAACAAGGGAGGGGUCUUCAAACAUUUCCUAUAAAUGAUUUACUGUAUCAAACACUGCCAAAUAUUAUCUCAAAUGAGUUCUCUAAGUAGGGGUUCUGUUCCAAGUAGAAUCACUUAAUUUUAAAUAGAAAAACAUUAGAUUUCAUUACUUAUUCUAAACUGACUCUGGUUUUGUACAGUUUCUUAAAUAAAUCAUGACUUAUUUAUUUCAAAUGAAAACAUUACACGCCAUAUAUCAAUAUGACCAUAAUAGAGGGAUCUAUCCUCAUAUAAAAUAUCGUAGUUUUCAUAAAUAACAAUGUGGGUGAAACAUGGGUUAAACCCCGUACCUAUGAAUCUGUAAAUUUUACAUAUAACCAUCUAUUUCAAGAUUCUAGACUCAAUAAGCUUACAUACCUCAAAUCCAAACCUUAAACAUAUAAUCAUAAUAAGUACAUCUUAACAUGCAAUCAUUAUAAACAUCAAGAUAAUUAAUUUCAUAGCAUAUAAUCAUCAAAUUUUCGGUUUCCUCACCAAUUUUCUAUUUUCUUUCAAGAAUCAAGAAUCAAGAGUUAGAUUCUCACAUGCAACGCUUUAAACAUAAAAUUAAACAUAUCAAUCAUCGUCAUCAUUUUUCUCAUCAAAGAUCAAGGGUUCAAGCAUGGAUCUUAACAUACAUGAGACUAAACAUAUAAUAUAACAUACUAUGAGCACUUUCUUUCAUAAAACUUUCGAUUACUUCAAACAAUCAUGAAGGGGAUUUUUUCAAAAGACAAGAGAAGGAAAUACUAUAGAUGUUAUCUAGAUGUAGCAAUAAGUCCAUGAUUCUUACCUUAGGGUCUUUGAGAAUUUGAAGGGCUUUGUAUAUACUUGAAACUCUACUUCUUUUUGAAGAACGUCUUUUAUUGAAAUGAAAAGAGUUCUUGAGCUUUAACACACUACAAAUUCCGAAACUAAGGAAGAAGAGAGGAAGAAAUUUUGAUCUUGAACUUUUGGAUGAGUAGAAGAAAAUAUGAAAGGAUGAGUAAACACUUGAAGCUUGGGUUCUAUUUAUAGAAUUGGAGAGGCUUCUAUUCUUAAUGAGUAAGUAUGAAGAGGGGUGUUUUUGCAAUUAGGAGAAACUUGAAAUAAUCUAGAGGGACUUCUUGGAAAUUUCAUUUGAGUUAUCUUAAAAUAAAAUGCUAAAUGAAAAGCCAAGUGGAAAUGCACAUGGAAUAAGUGUAUGCAUGCAACACAUACAAUCAUAGCCAAUUUGACGAGAGGAAAUUACUAUCAAUUAAACAUAUAAACUUUCUAGUGUGAGAAAAUAAAUUCUUAUGUUAUGAAAACUAAAUCAACGUAGAUCACAUAAUUUCACGUGUUCAAUUAUAUUAAACACAUGAAAUACAUUUUAGUUGCACAAAUAGAGAAUAAAAUCAAAAAUAUUCAUGUAGACAUAUAAUGCACAUUAGUUCACAUAAUUUCACAUAAAUAGCAAAUAAAGCAAAUUGAAUAGAAAUUAAUUAAAUUUGCACGUACAACACAUAUUCUUGCAAAGGAGAUGAGAGGGAAAAUACGGAAACCGGGUAUUAGAAACGCGAGGUGUUACUUGGCUUGGGGAUUAGCCACGAAUGUAAAUAAAUGUUUAAUUGAUAGAUUUUGACACCAUCCCCAAACUUUCUCCCCGCAGAAUCGGAUGCCACUAUCGGAGAUUAGGGCUCUGGGUAUUCCGAACUGACACACCACAUUUUUCCAUAGGAACUUGAUUACAUCUUCUUCCCUGAUUCGCGCUAAUGGCUCUGCCUCGACCCACUUGGUGAAAUAAUCGACGGUCACUAUCAGAUGUUUCCUUUGGCCCGUGGCUUGUGGGAAAGUUCCAACCAGAUCCCUACCCCAUUGGGCGAACGGGAUCAGACAGUCUACUGGCUGCAUCAGUGCCCCCGGUUGGUGUUGAAUGUUGGCAUGUUCUUGACAUGCUCUACAACGCUUGACUAGAUUCCUUGCAUCGUUUUGCAUGGUAGGCCAGUAGUAACCUUGUCUUAGAGCUUUGAGAGCUAGGGAUCGGCCACUCUAGUGGUUGCCGCAAAUUCCUUCAUGAAUCUCUCGAAGGGCGGGGUCGGCCUUGGUUGGGGGAAGGCACUUCAAGUAUGGAAGUGAGAAGCCACGUUUAUAUAAUUGACCAUCGAUGUUUAUAAAGCAUGAGGCCCUUGUUCUCAAAUUUUGAGCCUCAUUCGGCUUGUGGGGGAGGGCCCCAAAUUCUAAGUAUUGCGUUAUAGGGUCGAUCCAGCUGGGCUCUUCCUCAUUGCAUUGCACUUGGCCUUUAUCCUCUUCUAUCUCUGGUUAAGGCAAGGUCAGGAUGGUGAUUCUUCUACAGCCGAUGAUGGUCAUGGAACUUGCUAACUUGGUGAGCUUGUCGGCCAGCACAUUGCUAGCUCGUGGUACUUGUUUAACUUCAUAGAUUUCUACCUUUGAUAAUAGCACAAUGGUAAUGGCCAGGUACUCAGACAUUGUUUCCUCCUUAGCCUCGUAGGUGCCCAGUACCUGGUUAACGAGCUUCUGCUGAUGUAGCUAGCUUGAUUUUAGCUAUGAGGGCUUCGUACUCAGCCUUGUUGUUCGAGAUUGGGAAUCGAACCUCAGGGCGUACUCGAGUUCGUCGCCUUGGGGUGUAACUAUAACAAUUCCGGCUCCCCCGCCAGAACUGGUGGCUGAUCCAUCUACAUUGAUAGUCCAUGUUAGCAGUGCACUUCUGGAAUCGUAGCCCGUCAUUUCCACUAGGAAGACCGCUAGAUUCUGGGCUUUGGUGGCAGAUCGACUGCAAAACUCGACUCCAUAUUCACUCAGCUCAAUGGCCCAUUUCGCCAGCCUUCCCGAUGUUUCUAGGCUCCGAGGGACUUGUUUCAGGGGGUAGUUGGUGAGUACUACUAUUUCAUGAAACUGAAAAUAUGGUUUUAAUUUUCGUGCGGCGGUGAUUAGGGCUACAGUGAGUUUUUCCAUCUUCGAGUGGCGUUGCUCUUCUCCUUGAAGGGCGCGAACUACGUAAUAGAUGUGUUGGUGACCUCUUUCCCCUUCUCGAACUAUGACUGCUCUAAUGGCUUCGUGUGAGACUGCUAAGUAGAGCAGUAGGACAUCCCCUGGAGAAGGCUUUGUGAGUAGAGGGGGCGAGGCGAGGUAACGUUUUAGCUCUUCCAAAACAUGUUGACAGUCCUUAGUCCAUUUGAACUUUUUGCCUCCCCUCAGUACUUUAAAGAAUAAGAGUCCCUUAUAUGCCAACCUGGAUAUGAAAUGGUUCAGGGUAGCGAGGCAUCCGUUAAGUUGUUGAAUUUGUUUGAUGGACCGCAGGGGAGUCAUAGAAGUCAUUGCUUCUAUUUUUCACCGGGUUGGCUUCUAUUCCUCUUUGUGAAAUCAUGUAACCGAGGAAUUUAACUCAUCUAACUCCAAACGAACAUUUGAGUGGGUUGAGCUUCAGCCUAUAUUUUCUCAAGAUGGCGAAGCACUGUUGUAGGUCUGCAAUGUGCCCCAAUGUUCGCGUGCUUUUGACGAGCAUGUCGUCAAUAUACACUUCCAUGUUUUUCCUUAUCAUGUCCGCGAACAUUUCAUUCACCAAGCGUUGGUAAGUGGCUCCGGCGUUCUUCAAUCCAAAGGGAAUCACCUGAUAACCGUAGAUUCCUUGAUUAGUGACGAAACUGGCCUUCUCGUGGUCUUCGGGGACUAACUUGAUUUGAUUGUAGCCCUGGUACGCGUCGAGAAAACUAAGGAUCUCGCACCCCGAAGUGGAGUCCACCAGGUGAUCAACCCUUGGUAGAGGGAAAGGGCCCCUAGGGCAUGCUUUGUUUAAAUUGGUGAAGUCUACGCACAACCUCCACUUUCGUCCAGACUUGGAGACCAACGCUCCGUUAGAGAGCCAUUCUGGAUAUUGGACUGGGCGGAUGUGCCCCGCGGCCAAGAGCUUAUCCACCUCUUUUUUGAUGUGUUUAUUUCUCUCUAGACCGAAGGACUGUUUUCGUUGCUCUAUCGGCUUUGCUCUAGGAUGGACGUUCAGUUGGUGGAGUGCCACUUCAGGUGGGAUGCCCAUGAGGUCUUCAGCCUUCCAUGCGAAGAUAUCGGAGUUUUGAGGGAGGUAUUCUACGAGCUGCUCUUCGGUGUCAGGGUCUAGGUCCGUCCCAAUUCGAACUGACCUAGCUUUAUCUCCCCGGAUUAAUUCCACUGCUUUUAAUUCUUCAACGGCAUCCAACUUUGCUCCAUCGUCGGGCAUGCGUAUUAGGAUAUUGGACUCUUCAUUGCGGAUUACUGUUGGGGAUCGGGCACGUGUAUACAACAGAAAAAAAAUGUUAUUUUAUUAUAUAUAAACCAAUUUAUAUAAACAAACAUGUGCACAAUAAUUACAAUUAAUUGAGUACCUUUUCGCUUCCAAUCACCGACAAACAUGCUCGCAUAUAUAAUUAAAUCAUCAUAGCAUGCUCGCGAAAUUAAAUCAAAUAAUAAACAUGCUCAACAAACGAUUCACAGAAAUACAUAAUCGAACAUAUAGAUCCAUGUGAUUCCAUAAUCAAUUAACAUACAUUAAUCUCAAUUAAUAAAAAUUCUCAAUUAACAUACAUAAUCGAACAUAAUAUUUAUGUAUAUGAAUUAACUUAUCAAUGAACUCUAGAUUGAUAGAGUUCAAUGAACUCAUCAACUUAUGAGCACCCAUUUAUGUAUGCUGAUAUCACAACACCGUUGACUAAUGAGACGCAGUACACAUACACUAAGUGCUAGUCUCAAAUGGGAAAGGCCGAUAUCCUCAUUAGUGGCGUAACCCAUUGACUAGGAACUACGUUUAACAGUUACUAUACUUCAUGAUCUCAUGAUUAUACUUGAUCUAUUUAUAUUAAUUAACUAACUGUAAGGACUAUAUAUAUGCUUAUGCAAUGGACAAAGAUAUAGAAUGCCAAAGGGGUUUUUUAUCUUCUUCACCAAGAAGUUGGAAACUGACGCCGUGAUGGCUAAUGCGUCAUUAUUUUCAUCUCGGGGACCCUGGAGGUCUUUCUGGAUAAAAGUAAUAUCGUGCUCCGUCUGUUGCACCAUGCAAACCUGUGCGGUGGCGGUGUCUGGGGUAGUAGCUGGGGAGAGUACACGGCGCGCCCUGUGGGUGUCCCCACUUGAAGGGCCGCUGGAGAUCAUGGCAAUGACGCCACGCGUAGGUAAGUUAUCCUCGUUGUCUCUAUCCUUUUUACGCCCCCCCCCCCCCCCCCCCUUGGGUGGUGGUCAUUUCCACGAUUAUCGUUUCGUGGAUUGUCUCAUUUGUUCCUCCUCUGCGUACUGUCUAAAAACUCUCCUAGAUUUCUUUGCUUGAUUAAUUUCUCGAUGGCCACCUGGAGUUGGAAACAUUCCUCUGUGGUGUGCCCCUUGUCUUUGUGGAACCGAUAGUACUUCUCGAAUUUCAUCCUUUUGGGGUUGUGAUUCAUAGGGCGUGGGGGUUCCACCAAUGCAUUUCCUUCCGCCACUAGAAGCACCUAGAGAAGGUGGGUGUUUAAGGGGGUGAAUCGGGGGUAAUUCGCAGCUGGGGUUGUGUGCUUAUCUUCUCUCCUUUUGUUAUCGAGCCGGUCGUCCUCCCUCUUUCUUUUGUGCAUUCCAAGUCCGGAUGUUUCCUCGAUGCGUACAUACUUUUUGGCAUGCUUCAACAUUUCCUCCAGCCUGGCAGGUGGUCUACGAGCUAUCAAUUCGUUGAACAUGGAGUGCCUUAGGUUCUGCUAGAUAUGCCCGUCGCUACCUCGUUGCCAGUGUUUGGUACUUCAUGGACUGUUUGUACGAAACUUUGAACAUAGCGACGUAUCGACUCUCAUUGUUUCUGGACAAUGGAGAGUAAAUGGGCUGUGGUUUUUGCGUACUUUUUAUUGAUGGCAAACUGGUUGAGAAAGCGAUCGGUGAGUUGUCAGAAAGGAAGACUUGACUAUCAAACCCGUAAAACCAAAACACGUGAACUAAGUCGGGGGAUGAUCCGGCGGAAACCCCUCCGACACUCAAGUUAGAUGCUAACACAGGAGAUAGGGUAGAGAGCACCACAGCAAGAGGAUUCGAGAGAAUUGUUAGAACGUACAUUUUUCCUCAGAUUGAGGUGUUAUUUAUACUUAGUUAAUAGUAGAAAUCUAAUUAGAGUACUAAUCUAGUAUUUUUCUAGAUUAGAACUCUGAUUGGGUGUUUUAUUAAUACCAUAUGUAGUGGCCCAUAGAGGCUCUUAGGAGAAUGGCUCGACUCUUUUAUCUGGUGCGCUCCGGGCCCAAUAUUUCGACCCACAUGGUUACAUAAUGUAAAUGGCCCAAUGUGGCCCAUUUAGGUGUAUCAUACUAAUUUAUAUAACAUAAUCAUAAUAGAAUCCUAAUAUUAAAAGAGUUCCAUAAUAUAAUAUACUCUAACAUGUUUAUCUUCUAUAUAGUUUAAUUAUGUGAUGGUUUAGUGAAUUUUUUUCUUGAAGCUAGAUUCAUUAUGUGAUGGUUUAGUGAAUUUUUUUGUUGAAGCUAGAGAAAAUAUAGAUAGACCAAUUCAGUGCACGUACACAAAUCAUUAUUGAUGUAAUUUUUAUUUUUUUUAUAAGAAUUAACAUGUAUCUAUUAAUCAUGGUGGGACUUCUAUUAACAUGUUUACCAUCUUCUCGAAAGUAUUCGUGCUAAUUUCCCAAGCUUCUUAACAUGGAAACAUGGGUUGGCACUAGCCUACUUAUCAUUUUGUCUUGUGUAGUUGAACUCGCGCAGUUAGUACAAUAGUAGUGGUGGGCUGAUGGCUCUUUCGAGCUUUAGUUUGUGAUGUUAGAAAUGUGUGGUGUUAAAAUCAAGAUUCUAAAGAGCGGUUAUCGGGUCCGAGGCAGUUAGGGAGCGCCACACGAUAAAUUGGUGCGACGGUAAUUAUUCGGAGAUAAAUUGAAAAUAAAUCGCUUUUUUGAUUUAGUGUAACAUAUUUUUAAAUAUUAUUUGUAACUACUUAAAAUAUAUAUUAAAAAAGAUUUGAACAUGGUUUUGGUUAAAAGAAAUUCGAAAAAAAUAAAAAAGGAAAACGCCUAUUGUAUUAUCCUUUUAAUUAAAAAAAAAAACUAAUAUUUAUUACUGAUUAAUUGAACCGAUAUAUCUGUUUGACCCACCUCAAACCAACACAAAGCGCCGUAAACUGCCUCACCGUCCAAAAAUCGAUAUUUCAAACUGCCUCAUCAUUAUUGUAAAGGUUUACAACCGCCACCAUCGGCCGCCAAGACCGAUACUAUUAUUUCAAAAUUUAAUGGCUUAUCUGUUAUAUAUGAUGUUCUUGUGAUUUAAUUGUUACUUCUUGGCACGGUGUGCUAUAAUGAUGAAUCACGGGAUUAUACACUUUAAUUUACACCAGGAACAUGUUUAAUAUGUUGUUGGAAUUUAUUGAGGUGAGUUAAAUGUCUAAAAGUGACAAGAAACUCAUUAAAAGUUUGAAAAGAAGUUACUUUGCUUUACACGCAUGAUUAAUAUAUGUGUUGAUGAUGAUGGUUUCAUGGUAUGUAUGUGUGUAUGGUGUGUAAAGGUGCGUGCACCGCAUAUGUGCAGUGUGUGUGAUUGAGAUACAUGAAUGGUUAUUUAAUUAGUCUAUAUAAUGAUAGGUGAAUUAUAGAUGCUUAUGUAGUUAUGUGAUAAUUGUGAUGUUUAAGUGUUAAUUGCACGCGGUGUGCAUUUAGGAAGUCUAGCAUUCAUGUACUUCACGAGCUUUUGAAAGUUUGAAAAAUUAACAAAAUGCUUGGCUGAAUAAACAAUGGAUACGGUGGGCCGGUAUCUAACUAGGUUAAGAAGGGUGGGUUGAGUCCACCAAGAACGGGCUCGUAACGUUUUAUUGUCCGAGUAUGGAAAUUAAUAUUUCACGUAUCCGAUAAAACGAAAAAGUUUUUUUACACAAUUUGCAUGCAAGGGCAUUUUAGUAAUUCUGCAUAACGAUGUGUUUUACGUGAAAAUAAUGUGGUUUGUGAUUUGUGAUUUGUGUGCUUAUUCGAAUAUUGAGUUGUGCUUGGAUGAUGAAUGAAGGUGAUGAAAGUGACGUAUAAUAUAUAUAUAUAUAUAUAUAUAUAUAUAUAUAUAUAUAUAUAUAUAUAUAUAUAUAUAUAUAUAUUAAAUAUAACCUAUUUCUAAUGUUCGAUAACUACUUGAAUUUCUUACUGGGAUUUAUAGCUCAUAUAUAUAACUUUUGAUUGUAGGUAAUAGUAGCAGCAAUCCUCCGUAGGAAUGGAUCGAGUAGCCUGUCAAGGUCUUGCCCGGGUUUCUUUGGAAGUUCGUACGGGGGGUUCUAUAAACGAUGCAUAAUUAUAUACAUUUUGGUGAUGUAUAAUUAUAAAGACAAUUUCCUUCUUGUGUAUUUUGGUUACCUCUUUGGGUACGGAUCUUAUUUUGAACCUUAUUCUAGAUCCGUUUAUAAAUAAUAAUAAUAUAGCUAGUUUUAUUUAUAUCUUUAAUUCUCACCAAAAAUAUUUCUAAAACUCCGAUUUCUAGUUCGAACUGAUAAUAAAAAGAUUUUGAAUAGUGUAGCACUCGAAUAAAUUCCUUCUUUAAAAAGUUAUUUCAAAACAAGAAUUUAAACCGACUAGAAUCCUUCAAGACAAGUUUUUCGAAAAUGAUAAUGAUUUUGCACUUAAAAAUAUGGAUUUUAAAUGGCAACAGUUUCGCUAAGUUUUAAAUUCACUACGAAAUCCAAAAUGCUUCCUCUAAAUAAGUGUAAUUCCGAUAAACCGAUUCGACUUAUCGCCUAUAUGAGUGGGGGUGCUACAGGGUGGUAUCAGAGCAUGGUUUAUAGAAACUCGUAUGAACUUCACGGGCUUAAAGACUAUUCGAGACGUGAAACUCGACCCAUUCGGAAAUUAUGUGAAUUUAAUACCUUAUGUGUUUAUGUGCUUUACUAAUUAAUUGCAAAUUAAUAUAGAAGUAAUGGCAAGACGUAUAACCCAAGACGAUCAAAGCGCUUCUACCAAUGAACCCCAAGACCACAACCAAACCAUUCUUAAAGUUUCGAACCUUAUCCGAUAACAAGCCCAAAACCACCAACGUCAAAUCGAAUAACUUCUCCAACGUAACUAACCUCAAAUUAACGCGCCUCAAGCUAUAUACGAACGAUUCCUUAGAAUGAAUCCCACUGAAUUCCAUGGUGGUAUCGAUCCAGCCGUAGCCGAAUAAUGGAUCAAGUCUCUCGAAGUAAUUUACGGCUAUAUGCAAAUGACCGACUGUGAUCGAGUGCAUUGCGCCAUAUUCCUAUUCCGGAACGAGGCCCGUCAUUGGUGGGAAGGAAUCAAAGAAGGGACAAAUCUCGAAAAUCUUCAAUGGUCCGAAUUCAAAGUCCAAUUCUUCGAAAAAUAUUUCUCGAAAGAUUUACGAGCUCACAAACUCAAAGAAUUCCUCGAACUCCCUCAAGGAGACUUACCAAUGAUCGAAUACAUCCGUCGUUUCGAACAUGGCUGCCUUUAGGCCCCAUUCAUUGCUCGAGACACCGAGGAAAAGAAGAAUCAUUUCAUCCGUGGUUUACAACCCGAGAUCCGUAGAGAUAUCUGUAUGUCCGACGCUUCAACUUUUUGACAAUUAGUGGACAAGGCCCUUAUGGCUGCCCAAAACGAGCAAGUCAAUUAAUCAGUUAAAUUGUUGUCUCCGACAGUUAAAUAACUGUUGGAGACAGUAAUUUAGCAGCCAAGACAGUAAUAUUAAUUAAAAUAUUUUUUUUAAGAAAAGAAAGUCAAUUUACAGUUAAAUUACUGUCUCUGACAGUUAAAUAAUCGCUGUAGACAGUAAUUUAGCAGCCAAGACAGUUAUAUUAAUUAAAAAAAAAUUAAGAAAAAAAAGUUAAUUAACAGUUAAAUUGCUGUCUCCGAUAGUUAAAUAACUGCUGGAGACAGUAAUUUAGCAGCCAAGACAGUAAUAUUAAUCAAAAUAUAUUUUUUAAGAAAAAACAAAAUUAUAAAAAAAAAUUAACGCCGGAGACCGGCGGACAAUGGCGGCUGAGCGUCGGUCUCCGGUGGUGGCGGGUCAAAAUUGUGGUCAAAAUUGAAAUUAUGGUUAAAAUUGGUUAAUUGGUGAAAUUUGGCUAAAUUGGGGUGUAAAUCAUGAAAUUGGAGUUGAAUUGAGUUUCAAUGAAUUGAGUAAUUUUGGUAUAUAUAAAAUGAUUUUCCUUAUUUACAAAUAAGUUUGAAUGAGCUGGAUUCAUUUGAAAAACAAGUUAGAUGUUCCUCUUUUAAUUAAGUGCCUUUGUCAUGGGCCUAUUUGCCAUUGCAUAUAUAUAUAUAUAUAUAUAUAUAUAUAUAUAUAUAUAUAUAUAUAUAUAUAUAUAUAUAUAUAUAUAUAUAUAUAUAUAUAUAUAUAUAUAUAUAUAUAUAUAUAUAUAUAUAUAUAUAUAUAUAUAUAUAUAUAUAUAUAUAUAUAUAUAUAUAUACACCGGAGACCGGCGGACACUCUCUCUCUAUAUAUAUAUAUAUAUAUAUAUAUAUAUAUAUAAAUAAAUAUAUAUACAAAAAUGUUUAAUUGGAGAAAUAUGUCUAAAUAGGGGUGUAUAUCUAAAAAUAGGAGUAUAUAUAUGUCUCUAUAUAUAUACAUAUAAUUAAUAUAUAUAGAUCUCUCUAUAUAUAUCUCUCUCUCUCUCUCUAUAUAUAUAUAUAUAUAUAUAUAUAU